CCGAGUUUACAACUCCCAAACCCCUGUGAACAUACCAAUUGUUGCCUCGGCGGAUCAGCCCGCUCCCGGUAAAACGGGACGGCCCGCCAGAGGACCCCUAAACUCUGUUUCUAUAUGUAACUCCUGAGUAAAACCAUAAAUAAAUCA
Molecule: unclassified non-coding RNA, 147 nt
Filed under: soil metagenome
Description: partial internal transcribed spacer 1
Source: RNAcentral